This 253-nucleotide ribosomal RNA is filed under the name uncultured bacterium. Its description in RNAcentral is "partial 16S ribosomal RNA". It matches the Rfam family "Bacterial small subunit ribosomal RNA", at positions 524 to 776 of the family's 1533-position model. The record is from RNAcentral.
UACGGAGGGUGCGAGCGUUGUCCGGAAUCACUGGGCGGAAAGGGCGCGUAGGCGGCGCGGGCAGUCAACGGUGAAAGCUUGGGGCUCAACCCCGAGUCGGCCGUCGAUACUCCCGGGCUGGAGCACUGUAGAGGCAGGUGGAAUUCCGGGUGUAGCGGUGGAAUGCGUAGAGAUCCGGAAGAACACCGGUGGCGAAGGCGGCCUGCUGGGCAGUAGCUGACGCUGAGGCGCGACAGCGUGGGGAGCAAACAGG